Molecule: ribosomal RNA, 396 nt
Filed under: uncultured bacterium
Lineage: Bacteria
Description: partial 16S ribosomal RNA
Rfam family: Bacterial small subunit ribosomal RNA
Source: RNAcentral
AUACGUAGGGAGCGAGCGUUGUCCGGAAUUACUGGGUGUAAAGGGUGCGUAGGCGGGACUGCAAGUCAGAUGUGAAAUGCCGGGGCUCAACCCCGGAGCUGCAUUUGAAACUGUGGUUCUUGAGUGAGGUAGAGGGAAGCGGAAUUCCUAGUGUAGCGGUGAAAUGCGUAGAUAUUAGGAGGAACAUCGGUGGCGAAGGCGGCUUACUGGGCCUUUACUGACGCUGAGGCACGAAAGCGUGGGGAGCAAACAGGAUUAGAUACCCUGGUAGUCCACGCUGUAAACGAUGAUGACUAGGUGUGGGGGGACUGAACCCUUCCGUGCCGCAGUUAACACAAUAAGUCAUCCACCUGGGGAGUACGGCCGCAAGGUUGAAACUCAAAUGAAUUGACGGGG